Molecule: ribosomal RNA, 1006 nt
Filed under: uncultured archaeon
Lineage: Archaea
Description: bacterial SSU rRNA
Rfam family: Archaeal small subunit ribosomal RNA
Source: RNAcentral
GAAAACUUACAAUUGCGGGAAGCCGUGAUAAGGGGACACGAGGUGCAGCAUCAUAUUGCUGCCGUCCGGGUGGUGUAAAAUACACCCGUUAGCAAGGGCCGGGCAAGACCGGUGCCAGCCGCCGCGGUAACACCGGCGGCCCCGAGGUGGUGAUCGUGAUAUUGGGUCUAAAGGGUCCGUAGCCGGUUUGGUCAGUCCUCCGGGAAAUCUGAUAGCUCAACUAUUAGGCUUUCGGGGGAUACUGCCAGGCUUGGAACCGGGAGAGGUAAGAGGUACUACAGGGGUAGGAGUGAAAUCUUGUAAUCCCUGUGGGACCACCUGUGGCGAAGGCGUCUUACCAGAACGGGUUCGACGGUGAGGGACGAAAGCUGGGGGCACGAACCGGAUUAGAUACCCGGGUAGUCCCAGCCGUAAACGAUGCUCGCUAGGUGUCAGGCAUGGCGCGACCGUGUCUGGUGCCGCAGGGAAGCCGUGAAGCGAGCCACCUGGGAAGUACGGCCGCAAGGCUGAAACUUAAAGGAAUUGGCGGGGGAGCACAACAACGGGUGGAGCCUGCGGUUUAAUUGGACUCAACGCCGGACAACUCACCGGGGGCGACAGCAAUAUGUAGGCCAAGCUGAAGACUUUGCCUGAAUCGCUGAGAGGAGGUGCAAGGCCGUCGCCAGUUCGUACUGUGAAGCAUCCUGUUAAGUCAGGCAACGAGCGAGACCCGUGCCCACUGUUACCAGCAUAUCCUCCGGGAUGAUGGGUACUCUGUGGGGACCGCCGGUGUUAAAUCGGAGGAAGGUGCGGGCCACGGUAGGUCAGUAUGCCCCGAAUCUCCCGGGCUACACGCGGGCUACAAUGGAUGGGACAAUGGGUCCCUCCCCCGAAAGGGGCUGGCAAUCUCAUAAACCCAUCCUUAGUUCGGAUCGAGGGCUGUAACUCGCCCUCGUGAAGCUGGAAUCCGUAGUAAUCGCGUUUCAAUAUAGCGCGGUGAAUACGUCCCUGCUCCUUGCACACACCG